RNAcentral lists this ribosomal RNA (497 nucleotides) under uncultured bacterium. RNAcentral's name for it is "partial 16S ribosomal RNA". It matches the Rfam family "Bacterial small subunit ribosomal RNA", at positions 28 to 507 of the family's 1533-position model. The record is from RNAcentral.
GAUGAACGCUGGCGGCGUGCCUAAUACAUGCAAGUCGAGCGAACAGACGAGGAGCUUGCUCCUCUGACGUUAGCGGCGGACGGGUGAGUAACACGUGGAUAACCUACCUAUAAGACUGGGAUAACUUCGGGAAACCGGAGCUAAUACCGGAUAAUAUAUUGAACCGCAUGGUUCAAUAGUGAAAGACGGUUUUGCUGUCACUUAUAGAUGGAUCCGCGCCGCAUUAGCUAGUUGGUAAGGUAACGGCUUACCAAGGCAACGAUGCGUAGCCGCCCUGAGAGGGUGAUCGGCCACACUGGAACUGGGACACGGUCCAGACUCCUACGGGAGGCAGCAGAAGGGAAUCUUCCGCAAUGGGCGAAAGCCUGACGGAGCAACGCCGCGUGAUGGAUGAAGGUCUUCGGAUCGUAAGACUCUGUUAUUAGGGAGGAACAAAUGUGUAAGUAACUAUGCACGUCUUGACGGUACCUAAUCAGAAAGCCACGGCUAACUACGUG